UCCUACGGGAGGCAGCAGUGAGGAAUAUUGCACAAUGGGGGAAACCCUGAUGCAGCAACGCCGCGUGAGGGACGAAGGCCUUCGGGUCGUAAACCUCUUUUCUGAGGGACGAGGAAGGACGGUACCUCAGGAAUAAGUCUCGGCUAACUACGUGCCAGCAGCCGCGGUAAAACGUAGGAGGCGAGCGUUAUCCGGAUUUACUGGGCGUAAAGCGCACGCAGGCGGCUUGGCAAGUUGGACGUGAAAGCUCCUGGCUUAACUGGGAGAGGCCGUUCAAAACUACCGGGCUUGAGGUUGGGAGAGGGGUGUGGAAUUCCCGGUGUAGUGGUGGAAUGCGUAGAUAUCGGGAGGAACACCAGUGGCGAAGGCGGCACCCUGGCCCACACCUGACGCUGAGGUGCGAAAGCGUGGGGAGUAAACAGGAUUAGAUACCCCGGUAGC
RNAcentral lists this ribosomal RNA (441 nucleotides) under uncultured bacterium. RNAcentral's name for it is "bacterial SSU rRNA". It matches the Rfam family "Bacterial small subunit ribosomal RNA", at positions 337 to 794 of the family's 1533-position model. The record is from RNAcentral.